Molecule: ribosomal RNA, 216 nt
Filed under: Campeiostachys nutans
Lineage: Eukaryota; Viridiplantae; Streptophyta; Magnoliopsida; Poales; Poaceae
Description: Elymus nutans partial small subunit ribosomal RNA
Rfam family: Eukaryotic small subunit ribosomal RNA (bases 92-216)
Source: RNAcentral
AGAUCAGUACGCUGGUCGUGCCUUUGGUAUGCACUGGUGUCACUGGUUUCUCCCUUCUGAAGAACUGUCAUGCCAUUCAGUUGGUGUGGCGGGGAAUCAGGACUGUUACUUUGAAAAAAUUAGAGUGUUUAAAGCAGGCUCGCGCUUGAAUACAUUAGCAUGGAAUAAUGAAAUAGGUCGUUCGAUCCUAUUUUGUUGGUUUCUAGGAUUGACGUA